CCGAUCUUAGCUUAGUUGAUAGAGCGAAGGAUUGUAGUGGUUAGUAGUCGUCUGAAAUCCUUAGGUUGCUAGUUUGAAUCCGGAAGGUCGGA
This 92-nucleotide transfer RNA is filed under the name Ipomoea nil (Japanese morning glory). It matches the Rfam family "tRNA". From Rfam's summary of the family: Transfer RNA (tRNA) molecules are approximately 80 nucleotides in length. Their secondary structure includes four short double-helical elements and three loops (D, anti-codon, and T loops). The record is from Rfam by way of RNAcentral. Lineage: Eukaryota; Viridiplantae; Streptophyta; Magnoliopsida; Solanales; Convolvulaceae.